UUUUAUUUGAGAGUUUGAUCCUGGCUCAGGAUGAACGCUGGCGGCGUGCCUAACACAUGCAAGGUGAGUGAUGUACUUCGGUAAAGAGCGGCGGACGGGUGAGUAACGCGUGGGUAACCUACCCUGUACACACGGAUAACAUACCGAAAGGUAUGCUAAUACGGGAUAAUAUAUUUGAGAGGCAUCUCUUGAAUAUCAAAGGUGAGCCAGGACAGCAUGGACCCGCGUCUGAUUAGCUAUUUGGUAAGGUAACGGCUUACCAAGGCGACGAUCAGGAGCCGACGUGCGAGGGUGAUCGGCCACAUUGGAACUGAGACACGGUCCAAACUCCUACGGGAGGCAGCAGUGGGGAAUAUUGCACAAUGGGCGAAAGCCUGAUGCAGCAACGCCGCGUGAGUGAUGAAGGCCUUCGGG
Molecule: ribosomal RNA, 414 nt
Filed under: Clostridioides difficile
Lineage: Bacteria; Bacillati; Bacillota; Clostridia; Peptostreptococcales; Peptostreptococcaceae
Description: bacterial SSU rRNA
Rfam family: Bacterial small subunit ribosomal RNA
Source: RNAcentral